AUGAAAACAGUAGAAGAAAUUCAAACAAUAACUAUGUUAACUGGAAAUGGCUUAUUGUUCAGUGAAAAACAGCUGAUCUCCAUCAGAAACAGCCACUUUAAUUGCCAGUGCUUACUGUGGCCAAGAAAGAAAAGGAAAUUCCAUAAGAAAAGGGUUUUCCCUUUACUAAAUGCAGUCUCUUUCCUAGUUCUGGCUCUUCUGCUUCCCAAGCCCAUGAGUUAUAAAGCACAGGCUGAGCUACAGUUGAAAGAACAAGUCAUCCAAAGCCACAACCUGGGCUUUCCUGGAGAACGAAGUUUUUCAGAAAUGCAGGGAAAAUGGCUCUCUGACACAUCUUGCAUGAAGACCAUACAUAUAUCACUGGAGAUCAGAGGAAGAGAUGACACACACUGGCAUCAGGCAGGAUUUAUGGAAAGCUGCUCCUGUGACAGUUGUCUCCUACAUGACCUCUUGCAGUUCCUUCUUAGACUUCUUUCUUUUGCUCUUUGUAAAUAAUCCUGGUGCAGAAGCAUUGAAAUAUUACAAAAAAUAUUUGUAUACUCAUAAGGCAGAUGGAUGUGCUAAUUUCUCCAUGAGGAGGUGUCGUGGUUCCGCUCGAGUGGGCAGCCGAGUUCCACCACAACCGCUCUCUCACUCCCCCUCCUCAAAGAGGAAUGGGGAGAAAAUACGUGAAAAGGGCUCAAAGGUUGAGAUAAGGACAAGAAAAUCACGCAAUAAUUAUUGUAACGGGCAAAACAGACUCAGCAUAAGAAGAUAGUAAGAUUUAUUGCUCAUUACUAACAAGCUAGAGAAGUGAGAAACAAAGGAAAGGAACCAAAAGCACCUUCCCCCCCCCAUCCACCCUCUUCCACCUCCUCCCCCUGAGCAGUGCAGGGGAACGGGGGAAUGGGGGUUAUGGUCAGUCUACAGCGCUUCUCUGCUGCUCCUUCUCGGUCACUCUUGUCCCCUGUGCUGUGGGGUCCUUCCCACGGGAUGCAGUCCUUGAUGAACUGAUCCGGCGUGGGCUUCCCACAGGCAACAGCU
RNAcentral lists this long non-coding RNA (1023 nucleotides) under Anas platyrhynchos platyrhynchos (common mallard). RNAcentral describes it as "lncRNA (ENSAPLG00000028350.1)". Lineage: Eukaryota; Metazoa; Chordata; Aves; Anseriformes; Anatidae. The record is from RNAcentral.